GACGAACGCUGGCGGCGUGCUUAACACAUGCAAGUCGAACGGAAAGGCCCUGCUUUUGUGGGGUGCUCGAGUGGCGAACGGGUGAGUAACACGUGAGUAACCUGCCCCUGACUUUGGGAUAACUUCAGGAAACUGGGGCUACUACCGGAUAGGAGCUCCUGCUGCAUGGUGGGGGUUGGAAAGUUUCUGCGGUUGGGGAUGGACUCGCGGCUUAUCAGCUUGUUGGUGGGGUAGUGGCUUACCAAGGCUUUGACGGGUAGCCGGCCUGAGAGGGUGACCGGGCACAUUGGGACUGAGAGACGGCCCAGACUCCUACGGGAGGCAGCAGUGGGGAAUAUUGCACAAUGGGCGGAAGCCUGAUGCAGAAACGCCGCGUGCGUGAUGACGGCCUUCGGGUUGUAAACCGCUUUCGCCUGUGACGAAGCGUGAGUGACGGUAAUGGGUAAAGAAGCACCGGCUAACUACGUG
This 468-nucleotide ribosomal RNA is filed under the name uncultured bacterium. RNAcentral describes it as "partial 16S ribosomal RNA". It matches the Rfam family "Bacterial small subunit ribosomal RNA", at positions 28 to 507 of the family's 1533-position model. The record is from RNAcentral.